CAGUAGCCACGGUAAUACAGAGGGUGCAAGCGUUAAUCGGAAUUACUGGGCGUAAAGCGCGCGUAGGUGGUUCGUUAAGUUGGAUGUGAAAUCCCCGGGCUCAACCUGGGAACUGCAUCCAAAACUGGCGAGCUAGAGUAGGGCAGAGGGUGGUGGAAUUUCCUGUGUAGCGGUGAAAUGCGUAGAUAUAGGAAGGAACACCAGUGGCGAAGGCAACCACCUGGGCUCAUACUGACACUGAGGUGCGAAAGCGUGGGGAGCAAACAGGAUUAGAUACCCCCGUAGUCCCUGUCUCUUAUAC
Molecule: ribosomal RNA, 301 nt
Filed under: uncultured bacterium
Lineage: Bacteria
Description: partial 16S ribosomal RNA
Rfam family: Bacterial small subunit ribosomal RNA
Source: RNAcentral